This 561-nucleotide long non-coding RNA is filed under the name Melopsittacus undulatus (budgerigar). RNAcentral's name for it is "lncRNA (ENSMUNG00000017406.1)". Lineage: Eukaryota; Metazoa; Chordata; Aves; Psittaciformes; Psittaculidae. The record is from RNAcentral.
CUAAUGCUCUUACUGUAAGUAAUUAGGAUUGGUUUUCUUUUACAGGGUGAUAAAGGUCUUCCUGGUUCUGCUGGUCCAAAGGGUGAUACUGGAGACACUGGGUCAAUAGGCCCUAAAGGAGAAGCUGGUGCUGUUGGGUCUCCUGGGAAACCUGGACCACCAGGACCUCCUGGCCCCCCUGGGCCGCCUGGACCUCCUGGACCCCCAGGAAUCAGCUACAGUUUGGGAUUUGAGGACAUGGAAGGAUCGGGUAGCAUUGACCUCUUAAAUGAAUCCAGAAUUCCAGGAUCAAGAGGACCAAAAGGUUUUGUAGGAAGACAUGGACAGCGUGGACCAUUAGGACCAAAGGGAGAAAGAGGCAGCAUUGGUCCACCAGGUUCAAAGGGAAUGCCAGGUACAGAUGGAAAACCAGGCUUUCCUGGCAUUGCUGGACAUCCUGGAGAUGUGGGUCCAAAAGGAGAGAAGGGUGACCCAGGACCUCAGGUGAGAUUGUGUGGAUCACAUGUUAAACAUAUGUUAAAAGUAGUAGUGAAUGUCUUUUCCAUCUUUAAUGUUUUUUGA